GUAACUAUAACGGUCCUAAGGUUAACUUAAUCGCUAGCCUUAGUAAAAUUGGGCUAUAUGCUGGAAAGUCCCAUGUAUCCGACGGUACCAAACAACUGGUAAAAAUCCGUUCGGUGGGGACAAUCAGCAGGAAAGGUUGGUGAUGGACAAUGGCAAAAUUUUUGCCAUUGGCGUGUCUCAGUAUUAUUGCUGAACCUCGACCUCUAAAACUUGUAAGAUGCAGUUAAUUCGUUUUAGUGGGGUAAGUAGAUAUCUGAGAGUAAUGCAUGAUACCGUGAGCCGUGAAUAGUUUCUGCAUCGGCUAAAAACGAUACCUCAUGGCGCGCCUCAAAUAACAUUACCAAAAUCCUCAGAGACUAUACGCCCAAUCCAUUAGAAAAUAAUGGAAUGAUAUAGUCCGAACUGUAUGGCGACAUAUAGAGCUCAGCAGAAAUGUUGAGACGCCUUGAAUUUUUUGGUCAAGGUUGUAACAGAAUUGAGCGAAAUUCCUUGUGGGGUAAGUUCCCACGCGCACGAAUGGUGUAACAACUUGGGCGCUGUCUCAAGGAGGAACUCGGCGAAAUUGUAGUGGCGGUGAAGAUGCCGUCUACCCGCACCAAGACGAAAAGACCCCAGAACCUUUACUGCAUUCUGGUAUUGGAUUUGGAUAUUGAUUGUGUAGGAUAGCUGGGAGGCUGUGAAGUUCCGGCGUUAGCCGGGAUGGAGCCAUCGGUGAAAUACCAGCCUGUUGAUGUCUAGAUUCUAACCUUGUUCUGUGAAUCCAGACAGGAAACAGUGCCAGAUGGGCAGUUUGACUGGGGCGGUUCCCUUCUAAAGAAUAACGAAGGGGUCCAAAGGUUCCCUCAGGACGGUCGGCAAUCGUCUGUAGAGUGCAAAGGCAUAAGGGAGCCUGACUGCGAGUCCGACAGGACGAGCAGGCACGAAAGUGGGGCUUAGUGAUCCGGUGGUUGAAUGUGGGAUUGCCAUCGCUCAACGAAUAAUAGGUACUCUGGGGAUAACAGGCUGAUCGCGCUCGAGAGUUCAUAUCGACAGCGCGGAUUGGCACCUCGAUGUCGGCUCAUCCUAUCCUGGGGCUGUAUAAGGUCCCAAGGGUCCGGCUGUUCGCCGGUUAAAAGGGUACGUGAGCUGGGUUUAGAACGUCGUGAGACAGUUCGGUCUCUAUCUGGUGUGGGCGCACGAUCAUUGAAGAAAAGAUCUCCCUAGUACGAGAGGACCGGGAGAUACGAACCUCUGGUGUUCCAGUUAUCCUGCCAAGGGUAAUGGCUGGGUAGCCAUGUUCGGAAGGGAUAAGCGCUGAAUGCAUAUAAGCGCGAAGCCUAUUUCAAGAUGAAUGAUCGAUCCCCCGCAAGGGGGUGCAGGCACGUUGUAGACUACGACGUUGAUAGGCUGGGUGUGUAAGAUCCGUAAGGAUUUAAGCUAACCAGUACUAAUCUGCCGAACGCUUGAUCAU
This 1450-nucleotide ribosomal RNA is filed under the name groundwater metagenome. RNAcentral's name for it is "bacterial LSU rRNA". It matches the Rfam family "Bacterial large subunit ribosomal RNA", at positions 1936 to 2925 of the family's 2925-position model. The record is from RNAcentral.